AUGAUAGUUCGGCAAAGCAACACUUGGCCACGCUCUUUCAGCAGCAUGGUAAGUGGCUACACAAGGCAAAAUACUCCUUUUGUCUGCAAAGUCUAGAAAUGCUUGGAACUAAGGCAUUUUGAUGUACUAUGUUGUCUUAGCUGUUGAAAAACUGCAGAAUAAUGGAGGAGAAAUUCAUGAAAUAGGUGAGAAAGCUUAGCUAUAGUUUUCUGAGCUCUACUCGGUGGAAAAGCGUUUUAUCCAUCAUGUUGUGUUGCAAUGGUAGCGUUAUGUUCCAAUGUGAACCUGCCAUUGAAGGAAGCAUUGUCUGCUACAUCUCUUUCCAACUCCACUUACAAAGACAGUCACCGCUGUCAACACUAUCUAUCGUUUUCCGCCUCCCAAUGUGCCCACAAAUGUGUAACUGCAGGUACCGUUUCUCUCCCUCCCUCCCUCUCUCUCGUUCUCUCUCUCUCUCUCUCUCAUUAUUAGCAAUGUCUAAUUGCUCAAGUUUUAUUUAUGUACCUGAUGCCCAGACAGAAAACAAAUGGAACUGCAGCAAUGCGUUUGCGUACAAUGAACUCCACUGUCAACUUUGUACCCACUCUCAAUCAAUCAUCUUUGAAUGAAGUCCACUUCUGAGAGGGACAACUGGGGCCUGGUGUUUCAGCAUGAAACUCAUAAUCCACAAUGUCUGGUCUCUGAACUCAUGGCUGUUACACCACAACCC
RNAcentral lists this long non-coding RNA (709 nucleotides) under Physcomitrium patens. RNAcentral's name for it is "long non-coding RNA (PPAT_LNC000135)". Lineage: Eukaryota; Viridiplantae; Streptophyta; Bryopsida; Funariales; Funariaceae. The record is from RNAcentral.